UGCGAACGACAGGGGAGCGCACGUUGCGCUGAGAUCGUGCCGAGGUAGGGCACUAAACCCUCGAACCUGAACCGGUUAGCACCGGCGGAGGAAGUCGAGACUCACCCGUU
This 110-nucleotide non-coding RNA is filed under the name Dermacoccus sp. RNAcentral's name for it is "TPP sequence". It matches the Rfam family "TPP riboswitch aptamer (THI element)". From Rfam's summary of the family: Vitamin B(1) in its active form thiamin pyrophosphate (TPP) is an essential coenzyme that is synthesised by coupling of pyrimidine and thiazole moieties in bacteria. The previously detected thiamin-regulatory element, thi box was extended, resulting in a new, highly conserved RNA secondary structure, the THI element, which is widely distributed in eubacteria and also occurs in some archaea. Lineage: Bacteria; Bacillati; Actinomycetota; Actinomycetes; Micrococcales; Dermacoccaceae. The record is from RNAcentral. RNAcentral also lists the same sequence under 1 other name.